CGUGCAGGCGGUUUGGUAAGUCGGACGUGAAAGCUCCUGGCUCAACUGGGAGAGGUCGUUCGAAACUGCCAGACUUGAGGACGGUAGAGGAGAGUGGAAUUCCGGGUGUAGUGGUGAAAUGCGUAGAUAUCCGGAGGAACACCAGUGGCGAAGGCGGCUCUCUGGGCCGUACCUGACGCUAAGACGCGAAAGCUACGGUAGCAAACAGGAUUAGAUACCCUGGUAGUCC
RNAcentral lists this ribosomal RNA (229 nucleotides) under uncultured bacterium. RNAcentral describes it as "partial 16S ribosomal RNA". It matches the Rfam family "Bacterial small subunit ribosomal RNA", at positions 568 to 796 of the family's 1533-position model. The record is from RNAcentral.